GACGAACGCUGGCGGCGUGCCUAAUACAUGCAAGUUGAGCGCUGAAGGUUGGUACUUGUACCGACUGGAUGAGCAGCGAACGGGUGAGUAACGCGUGGGUAAUCUGCCUUUGAGCGGGGGACAACAUUUGGAAACGAAUGCUAAUACCGCAUAAAAACUUUAAACACAAGUUUUAAGUUUGAAAGAUGCAAUUGCAUCACUCAAAGAUGAUCCCGCGUUGUAUUAGCUAGUUGGUGAGGUAAAGGCUCACCAAGGCGAUGAUACAUAGCCGACCUGAGAGGGUGAUCGGCCACAUUGGGACUGAGACACGGCCCAAACUCCUAAGGGAGGCAGCAGUAGGGAAUCUUCGGCAAUAGACGAAAGUCUGACCGAGCAACGCCGCGUGAGUGAAGAAGGUUUUCGGAUCGUAAAACUCUGUUGGUAGAGAAGAACGUUGGUGAGAGUGGAAAGCUCAUCAAGUGACGGUAACUACCCAGAAAGGGACGGCUAACUACGUG
RNAcentral lists this ribosomal RNA (497 nucleotides) under uncultured bacterium. RNAcentral's name for it is "partial 16S ribosomal RNA". It matches the Rfam family "Bacterial small subunit ribosomal RNA", at positions 28 to 507 of the family's 1533-position model. The record is from RNAcentral.